UCCUUUCUCAUCUCACACAAAAAUCCCCAAAUCUCCAAGCCGUCGCCGAUAACCACCACCGCGACUCUCCACCGGUCAUCACGAAAUUCCGGCGACUCGAUUCACCUCCUUCACUCCUCCCUCUACUUCCCCAAUGAAAUCCCACACUUCAGAUCCCCAAUUUCAGCAAAACUCCCAAAUUGUAGCCCCAAAACAGUCCCGCGCCCCUCCGAUUUACUCACGCUGUCCACCAAUCGUCGCCGGCGUGCCCUUCGCACAUACGCACCCGCCAGAAUCGGCUCCGCCACUCCAUCCCGGAGUUGCUACUGCUGCAGUGGAGUCGCGGCUGCUUCUGCAACCAGGAGGCAUCGCCGCUUGUCGCUCCGACUGCUGCUCGCUGCCUCUCUCCCAUCUCCGCUGCUGCUGUACCAGUCCCGUCGGUCUGGCAGCCACCGCACAUCACCGAAUCAACCCCGAAGAUAAGUUCUCAUUACCAAAUUAUCUUCUCUUUCGCAUUUUUGAUUAAUUUGCCGUGGGCUGUUCAAAUGAGUUUGGUCGAUUCACGUUCUUGUUUGAGUUAUGCGAUUAGUUGGUUGUUGAUUUAGUUUCGAGUUUCGAUUGAUUGUGUUCGCAAAUUUUGAGAUUGAGGGGAUAGCAAUAUACCUUGCUUGAAUUUGUUGUUCCAAAAAGAGUUGGUAGAACCGAAUAGAGGAGUCACUUGUGCAUAAGUUUGAUCGCGGACUCAAAAUUUAGAGGUAGAUUAUGGAGGAUAUUACCUUCAAUUGAGUGUGGAUAGGAAGUGAAAUUGUCGCGACUUAUUGCUCGAAUUUGGGAGUAGAACAAACUGUGAAUGAGUGAGAAUUUGUGAUCUUGUGAAUUUUGCAGAUUAUGAAAUUGUUCGCGAAAUUUGUUAGAUAUGGUUGACCGUUUAGUGUAGGAGAUUAAUUGGGGUAUUAAAGUGUGAUUAAUCACCUUGAAUUGGAUUAAUGGCGAUUAAUUUCUGAAAUGAACUGCAGGAUUAAAUCGAGUUUAAGGGGAGUAAAAUUGCAGAGUAACGGCAGGGCAAUUUCUGGAGCAGAAUGAAGAAUAACAAAAAUUUCAUGUUGGGAGCAGAUCAUGGAGACUCUACCGAUCUACCGUGAAGGAACAAAAGAUGGAGGGAUUGGGCUAAAAAGGAUUAAGCAUCUCCCCCUUAUUUAUUUAAUUAGGGAAUUAAUUAAGGAGUAAAAAAUCAGAAUUAAAAGUUUAAUUUGGUCAAAAUCACGAUUAAACCUGUUGGCCGUUAGUUUUUAACGGAAAUGUUGACGGAGGACCAAAAUGAUCAAAUUUUCAUAUGUUCAGAACUACAAAAUCCAAACGAUAAUGUUUAGGAAAAAAAACGUAAAAUGGUCAUAUAUUCAGGACCAAUUUUGGCCUUUACUCUUUCUUUUAUUAAUUAAAGUUUACGGAAAACUUUAAUUAAUUUCGUCAUCUAAUUCUAAACAAAGAUUAACAUCACCCAACGCAACCAAUUAACAAUUGGUGAUGUUCUAAAUAUUAAUUCUUCCAAAAAUCGAUCCAUACUUCAAACACGCCGCGUACUCCAUAGUACUUCCAAUUAAUUCCACGAAGAUCCAAGAUAAAAUUCCUUUCCAUCAAAACAAUUCACUUAUCCGAGAUUAUGAUAUUUCAAACACCGUAUGAACUUCCCUUCGCGAAAUUCAACAAAAGAAAGUCCCUAGGUGUUAUGCCAAGUACUAUAAAAAUUCACCGCCAAAGAAUAUUAUUCGUGCAAGCCAAAAAAUAUUUAACUCCUCGCUUCGCGAGAAAUUAAAUAUUAAUUUUUUUUUCCAGAAAUCUUCCUUUUUAUCACCAUAUCGCAUUCAAUACCAAAAAUUUUAUUAUCCGAAAAUUGCGGGUGUUACAUUUUUAGCGUCAAUUGAGUUUCUAUUUGCAAUAAUGCACACAAUUUUUUUGGUCGAUUUUUCUGGAAAAAAUGAAAUGGUAAUCAUUUGAAUUAGGGUUCUAUCCAUUAUUGAAGUUUUUAGUUGAUUUCAUAGUUAUAUUUAGUUUAUUUUCGAUUAUUGCGGGUAAAACCGUACUGAUUUCGUAUAUGUUUCUGGAAAUUAGGGAUUUUGUGUUCAGUUUGUUGACGAUUCUGUCCAUUAUUGACGAUUUUGGUUGAUUAUUAAGUUAUAUAUGUGUUUUUGUCGUUUUGGAUGAUGAAAUUUAACUGAUUUUGUUGGUGUGUCUGACAGAACAUCAAUGACGAAAAGAGGCAGACCCUUCAAAAGCCAGCCAACACAGACUACAGAUUAUAGUUACGAGAGAUCUCGCUAGAUGGACAACUGCGCGUGUCAAGUCACAGUCUUAUUUGCCGAGAAAGUUAAAGUGGUGUGCACGUGACAUGUUCAAUUGAGGAUUUGUAGAUAUGUUAAUCGAUAUUUUUCUUUGUUGUAGCAGGUUGCAAAUUGUGUAAUAGUGUGCAUGUGUCAUGUUAAAAAAAAGGGGGGUACACAGUAGAAAGAUUUAUUCGUAAUAAGAGGUGAACGUACCAAAACGUGACACCAAUUAUUCAAUUUAAUAAAUCGAGUAAGGGGUGUUACAGAUUGAACUCCAAAUCUCUCUUUUUAAUGAAAAAAUGGAUAAAUAUGACA
Salvia hispanica is the source of this 2615-nucleotide long non-coding RNA. RefSeq lists it as uncharacterized. NCBI's taxonomy places the organism in Eukaryota, Viridiplantae, Streptophyta, Magnoliopsida, Lamiales, Lamiaceae. The record is from RefSeq and is a predicted model, not a curated record.